GACAGAGGUGCCGAGCGUUAGGCGGAAUCACUGGGCUUAAAGCGUGUGUAGGCGGACUUCUAAGUACCUUGUGAAAUCCCACGGCUCAACCGUGGAACUGCUUGGUAUACUGGUUGUCUUGAGCCACUUAGGGGUCAGCGGAACAAAUGGUGGAGCGGUGAAAUGCGUAGAUAUCAUUUGGAACGCCAAUGGUGAAAACAGCUGACUGGGAGUGUGCUGACGCUGAGACACGAAAGCCAGGGGAGCGAACGGG
This 253-nucleotide ribosomal RNA is filed under the name uncultured bacterium. Its description in RNAcentral is "partial 16S ribosomal RNA". It matches the Rfam family "Bacterial small subunit ribosomal RNA", at positions 524 to 776 of the family's 1533-position model. The record is from RNAcentral.